Molecule: ribosomal RNA, 119 nt
Filed under: Pteropus alecto (black flying fox)
Lineage: Eukaryota; Metazoa; Chordata; Mammalia; Chiroptera; Pteropodidae
Source: RNAcentral
AUCUACGGCCAUGGCACCCUGAACAUGCCCUAUCCUGUCUGAUUUUGGAAGCUAAGCAAGGUUGGGCCUGGUUAGUACUUGGAUGGGAGACCACCUAGGAAUAUCAGGUGCUGUAGGCA